Molecule: small nucleolar RNA, 132 nt
Filed under: Buceros rhinoceros silvestris
Lineage: Eukaryota; Metazoa; Chordata; Aves; Bucerotiformes; Bucerotidae
Description: Small nucleolar RNA SNORA44
Rfam family: Small nucleolar RNA SNORA44
About the family: ACA44 is a member of the H/ACA class of snoRNA that guide the sites of modification of uridines to pseudouridines.
Source: Rfam by way of RNAcentral
GCGCAUGUUGAUCCAAGAGCUGCGGCUCCCUACCGUGGCUGCAGCUCUCCAACAACAUGCCAGAGCAACGGGAAGGUCUUUGACUGCUGGGGCCUCUCCUGCCUCUGGCUGUCACUCACCCCUCCUAUAUUA